GAAUGUCAGGGCCAUCCAGUUGCAACAUCUGUCACUCCAUUGAUUGCCAGGUUGAGUCAACUGAUCUCGCUGGCUAGGCAUGUGUCCCCCUCCUUCCUCACCAUUCCACAUGCGUCCCCCCAAAGCUGUGCUGCUUGGUCGAUGAGGACAACCAUCCCCGAUAGAGGAGGACCAGUCUUCAGUCAAGGCUAUACAAGUAACUGCACUCCCCUUCUGGAACCUUCAAACAAGCUCUCAGGAGAAUAUAUUUAAGUGAACAGUUAGGGGCAAGAAUAAGGUUGCUUAAUGAUUUCACUGCAUGUGAGUGGUUGAAA
This 314-nucleotide small nuclear RNA is filed under the name Callithrix jacchus (white-tufted-ear marmoset). RNAcentral's name for it is "7SK RNA". It matches the Rfam family "7SK RNA". From Rfam's summary of the family: 7SK was discovered as an abundant small nuclear RNA in the mid-70s but a possible function has only recently been suggested. Two independent studies have found that 7SK RNA binds the CDK9/cyclin T complex (known as elongation factor P-TEFb). P-TEFb activates transcription by phosphorylating the C-terminal domain of RNA polymerase II. The record is from Rfam by way of RNAcentral. Lineage: Eukaryota; Metazoa; Chordata; Mammalia; Primates; Cebidae.